GAGGGUAUAGCUCAGUGGUAAGGGCGUGUGCUUAGCAUGCAUGAGGUCCUGGGUCCAAUCCCCAGUACUUCCA
Molecule: transfer RNA, 73 nt
Filed under: Camelus bactrianus (Bactrian camel)
Lineage: Eukaryota; Metazoa; Chordata; Mammalia; Artiodactyla; Camelidae
Also listed under: 2 other names
Rfam family: tRNA
About the family: Transfer RNA (tRNA) molecules are approximately 80 nucleotides in length. Their secondary structure includes four short double-helical elements and three loops (D, anti-codon, and T loops).
Source: Rfam by way of RNAcentral